This is a long non-coding RNA of Peromyscus eremicus (cactus mouse), 1104 nucleotides long. RefSeq lists it as uncharacterized. The record is from RefSeq and is a predicted model, not a curated record. Lineage: Eukaryota; Metazoa; Chordata; Mammalia; Rodentia; Cricetidae. The transcript is spliced from 3 exons.
CACACACACACACACACACACACACACACACACACAGAAUCCAGGCCACUGGCCUCAGACUUGACUUAGAAGCAACAUUUCUGGGGAGAUUUAAGUCUAAUGCCAACAGUUGUAUUGCCCUUCACUCUGGAGGGGCAGCAGGGAGCGUGACAGCCGCACUUGCUGAUCUAACACCAAUUCUUCCAUUUGAACCUGAUAAACAAAAGCAUGAACCAUCUCUCACAUGAUGGAAAAAGGAAGGGCCUUUCCAACUCGUAAGUAGCAGCUAGCAGCUCUCAGCUUAAUCACUGUGCUUUGACGCUUGCGUUGGAUAGAUAGUUAGGCUGAGUUUGAAGUACUUUGAAGAUGCUCAGCAAUUGCACAAAAAUACUUGGUUAUAAAAAAAAAUCAAGAACAACUCUUCCAAACUCAGGUUUUAUAUAAUUUGAAUAAAAAACCACUGGAACCAAGUUACUAACUGCUGGAAGACUGACUGAAUGGCCCGCACAGCUCUGUGUCCUAUGGCUUCCCAAGCAAAGAGAACUAGGCAUGAAAGAGAACCUGUGACCACAGAAAAACUGAUCCAGAUCACGGACUGGCCGUGCCUGGAGGUGGAGGGUGAGACAGUCAUCGGGACAAAGGAUAAUGAGGAUGACUCAGUCACUGAUGGAAAGGCUCGUGCUGAAGGCCAAAGGAGGCAGGACCAAACGCACAGUGAGCACCCGCGUUGAUAGCAUCAGUCGUCAUCACUUACGGAAAUCCAGUUUCCCUGAAAAGACACGCAGAAAGUACAUCCAUGAUGACUUUAAGACACUCAAAGGAAAUACGAAGAACCGAGGCCAGAAAGAGUAAAGCCCUUUGUGGUGGGAGCUGCAGAUCCAACCGAGCACAUCCUUGCUGAUUUCAGUAACUACCAGCGAGAGCGUGAAUCCAGAUGGCCUGGUCUCUCUCCUGGACUACUGUGAUGAUUGUGUCACUCAGAGUUUGAUUUCCUUUAAGGAUGGUUGAGAAGUGGAAACGUGUUCACAAACCGAGCAAUGACUUCGCAUCUGUCACCUGCCACCAUGACUGGCUGCUGCUUGUCAUUCCUAUAACAUUCCUAUAAAAUAAGUGAUUCUGAUGUCA